GGGAGCUGUGUCAGGAGCGACAGCCCAGCCCCUGCGGCCUCGCAGACGGUGUCUGCAGGGACGUGGCUGCACUGACAGCCGGGGCGGAGCGCGGCUUCCCCGCUGAUUGAAAUGCAUCCAGCUCCCCUCACAGCGAGGACGUCCAGGGCUCACUCUGGAGCCAGGCAUGAAAUCUACGCGGGGCGGCGAGGGCGCUCUGGAGCCGUUUGAGGGACCUGCCACGGGAACAUCUGUGCCGUUCGCUGCUAUGAGCCUGUUUAAAGCAUCUCCACCGACCUGCUGAGCUUCCCGGGGUCACAGCAUGUUCUCCCCGUGACAAAGGGCGCGUGGGGGUCGCAUCCACGCGCCUCCACCCGCCCUGGGCCCUCAGAUCCAACAGCUGAUGGUUUGGCGAGAAGCAGCCAUCGAUUCCCGGCAGCGUGGACCCCUGGCUGCGGUGGGAGGAGCAGAAAGGCCGGCUCCCUGUUCCCCGUGAGGGGGCAGCCGGCAACCGGGGCCUGUGCAGCUCUGCUCCUCCCGGUCCCUGCACGGCCGAGGGGAGGGCACCAUCCCACUACCCUGGGGGCACAGGGCACCCACACCCCACUGCCCUGGGGGCACAGGCCGCCCGCUGCGGAGUGACGUGGUCAGCGCUGUAUCCCCACCUGCAGUUCCUGGGCCCAGACUCAGACUCUAGACCAGGGGUGGGCAAACUUUUUGACUCG
This is a long non-coding RNA of Myotis brandtii (Brandt's bat), 704 nucleotides long. RefSeq lists it as uncharacterized. Lineage: Eukaryota; Metazoa; Chordata; Mammalia; Chiroptera; Vespertilionidae. The record is from RefSeq and is a predicted model, not a curated record. The transcript has 3 exons.